GAGAGAGAGAGAGAGAGAAGGACAAAAAAGGCACUGUAUGUAAGAAAGAAGCACAGACAACAGUUUUGAUAAUCCCUCACGUGACAUAGUGGAUGCAGAUGUAAAGAUAUAUACAUGAACUUGCAUAAGAUACCAUUACACCACAAACUUUUUAUAAUAACACAAUUAUAAUUAUAGGACAAAGCAUAUAAGAGUGAAGCUGAAAACACUCUCACUGGGCCCUAAU
RNAcentral lists this unclassified non-coding RNA (226 nucleotides) under Hevea brasiliensis (rubber tree). Lineage: Eukaryota; Viridiplantae; Streptophyta; Magnoliopsida; Malpighiales; Euphorbiaceae. The record is from RNAcentral.